RNAcentral lists this ribosomal RNA (374 nucleotides) under uncultured organism. Its description in RNAcentral is "bacterial SSU rRNA". It matches the Rfam family "Bacterial small subunit ribosomal RNA", at positions 526 to 896 of the family's 1533-position model. The record is from RNAcentral.
CGGGGGGAGCAAGCGUUGUUCGGAUUUACUGGGCGUAAAGGGCGCGUAGGCGGCCAGCGCAAGUCAGUUGUGAAAUCUCCGGGCUUAACUCGGAACGGUCAACUGAUACUGCGCGGCUAGAGUGCAGAAGGGGCAACUGGAAUUCUCGGUGUAGCGGUGAAAUGCGUAGAUAUCGAGAGGAACACCUGCGGCGAAGGCGGGUUGCUGGGCUGACACUGACGCUGAUGCGCGAAAGCCAGGGGAGCGAACGGGAUUAGAUACCCCGGUAGUCCUGGCCUUAAACGAUGGAUGCUUGGUGUCUGGAGUCUUAUAGUCUCCGGGUGCCGUAGCUAACGCGUUAAGCAUCCCGCCUGGGGAGUACGGUCGCAAGACUG